GCAGAGGUGGUGGAACAGGCAGACACGUACGUUUGAGGGGCGUAUGCUUAUCCAAGCAUGAGGGUUCGAAUCCCUUCCUCUGCACCA
This 87-nucleotide transfer RNA is filed under the name Anaerosalibacter massiliensis. Its description in RNAcentral is "tRNA-Leu". It matches the Rfam family "tRNA". From Rfam's summary of the family: Transfer RNA (tRNA) molecules are approximately 80 nucleotides in length. Lineage: Bacteria; Bacillati; Bacillota; Tissierellia; Tissierellales; Sporanaerobacteraceae. The record is from RNAcentral.